CAGGACGAACGCUGGCGGCGUGCCUAACACAUGCAAGUCGAGCGAGGAGAUCCUCGGGAUGAUCCUAGCGGCGGACGGGUGAGUAACACGUGGGCAACCUGCCUCAUAGAGAGGUAAUAGCCUUCCGAAAGGGAGAUUAAUACCUCAUAACAUUGCAGUUUCGCAUGGAACAGCAAUUAAAGGAGUAAUCCGCUAUGAGAUGGGCCCGCGGCGCAUUAGCUAGUUGGUGAGGUAACGGCUCACCAAGGCGACGAUGCGUAGCCGACCUGAGAGGGUGAUCGGCCACAUUGGGACUGAGACACGGCCCAGACUCCUACGGGAGGCAGCAGUGGGGAAUAUUGCACAAUGGGGGAAACCCUGAUGCAAGCAACGCCGCGUGAGUGAUGACGGCCUUCGGGUUGUAAAGCUCUGUCUUCAGGGACGAUAAUGACGGUACCUGAGGAGGAAGCCACGGCUAACUACGUGCCAGCCGCAGC
RNAcentral lists this ribosomal RNA (476 nucleotides) under uncultured bacterium. RNAcentral describes it as "bacterial SSU rRNA". It matches the Rfam family "Bacterial small subunit ribosomal RNA", at positions 25 to 518 of the family's 1533-position model. The record is from RNAcentral.